AUAUUAUAAACAGAGAAGGCAGAUGGCAGCAAUGGAAACAAUUGUGAUCACACCAGCCUGUGUUUCUAGCAUCUGUCAUUGCUGAAUGAUGUUAACAAGACCGCAGCAUGAAUUAUCACCGUGCAGAGAUCAGCAAACAGAAGAAACAAACUUCAAUUCCUUGGGGAUGAAUGGAUGGACAGACAGACAGCAAUCUCGGUGAGGAAACCAUGGCUUCCUGUGUCAGAAUAGCACUAACCUGAGACCAAGGAUGAGGCUUUGAGCAAGGAGAGGACAUGGGGGACAAGGCUAAUAAACCAUUACCAUGAGACUUGAGCAACUCUCCUGGUUAUGACACAGACAAAGCUCCAGAGAUACCACCAUGACAAGAACCGCAAAAAAGCUGGGAAUCUGCUCUAACAAGACCACCACAAAGCAAUAGAAGAACUUAACCAGAGAGUCAAGACAGUCCAACACUCAGAUACAUCAAGCCAAAAGGACAAAACAAAGAAUCAGCUAAAAAACACCAAAACAACAAUGCAAACACAGGUCCAGUUCCUCAGUGGCUGACACCACACCCAGCCCUGAGAAAGCUGAGAGUGAAAAUACAAAGAUUCACAAAAGCAUAUGCUUUAGGGGAUGUGAAUAAAAAAACAACCGAGGACUGAAAGUUCAAACACUAC
Molecule: long non-coding RNA, 662 nt
Organism: Mauremys reevesii (Reeves's turtle)
Lineage: Eukaryota; Metazoa; Chordata; Testudines; Geoemydidae
Exons: 3
Source: RefSeq, a predicted model, not a curated record